GUGCUAACAUUGGUAGCACAUAUACUAAAACUGGACCAAAGCAGAGGUUAGCAUGGCCCCUGUGCAAGGACGUCAGGAAAACACAUUCUUUUAUUU
This is a small nuclear RNA of Capra hircus (goat), 96 nucleotides long. NCBI's taxonomy places the organism in Eukaryota, Metazoa, Chordata, Mammalia, Artiodactyla, Bovidae. The record is from Ensembl.